GACGAACGCUGGCGGCGUGCCUAAUACAUGCAAGUAGAACGCUGAAGGAGGAGCUUGCUCUUCUGGAUGAGUUGCGAACGGGUGAGUAACGCGUAGGUAACCUGCCUGGUAGCGGGGGAUAACUAUUGGAAACGAUAGCUAAUACCGCAUAACAGUAGAUGUUGCAUGACAUUUGCUUAAAAGGUGCACUUGCAUCACUACCAGAUGGACCUGCGUUGUAUUAGCUAGUUGGUGGGGUAACGGCUCACCAAGGCGACGAUACAUAGCCGACCUGAGAGGGUGAUCGGCCACACUGGGACUGAGACACGGCCCAGACUCCUACGGGAGGCAGCAGUAGGGAAUCUUCGGCAAAGGACGGAAGUCUGACCGAGCAACGCCGCGUGAGUGAAGAAGGUUUUCGGAUCGUAAAGCUCUGUUGUAAGAGAAGAACGAGUGUGAGAGUGGAAAGUUCACACUGUGACGGUAUCUUACCAGAAAGGGACGGCUAACUACGU
This 494-nucleotide ribosomal RNA is filed under the name uncultured bacterium. Its description in RNAcentral is "partial 16S ribosomal RNA". It matches the Rfam family "Bacterial small subunit ribosomal RNA", at positions 28 to 506 of the family's 1533-position model. The record is from RNAcentral.